CUGAUCCACACCUAUGAUGAGACCUGCCCGGGCUUUUUUCAACCCAUCUCCAUCUGUCUCAGGAUAAACCCAACUCUCUAAUUCUUGUGUUUGUUGCCCUGACUGUGACGUCUUCUCUUGUUUGCAUCUUGUUGGCGUUUUAGUGAGAAGCUGAGCAGUGACAUUUGGCAGGAUGUCACUUAGACGUCCUUCAAAGCCAGAAGCCUCAAGGAAGUCUUGACUCUCAGGGGAACUCAUCCAGACACUUCCAAAGUUGUGUCCUGUGUCUGCCUAUAACAGAUUUGAAAGGGUUGAUCUGAAAGGGUUUUCGUAUGUCUGCAACAACACAGGCGCAGUAACUCCUUCGUGGAGACUGCUUCCAUUUUCACAAUGUCCAGCUCCACGCUAGAGCUUCGGGGAAAGGGACCGAGGAAGUGACUGGUUCGCCAACUGAAACUACAAAUCCUAGAGCUGCAACUAUAUUUUAUAAAUGGCCCUCGUUCGGUUCCUGCAUAA
RNAcentral lists this long non-coding RNA (495 nucleotides) under Sus scrofa (pig). Its description in RNAcentral is "lncRNA (ENSSSCG00040001846.1)". Lineage: Eukaryota; Metazoa; Chordata; Mammalia; Artiodactyla; Suidae. The record is from RNAcentral.